Molecule: ribosomal RNA, 131 nt
Filed under: Lepiota speciosa
Lineage: Eukaryota; Fungi; Basidiomycota; Agaricomycetes; Agaricales; Agaricaceae
Description: partial 28S ribosomal RNA
Rfam family: Eukaryotic large subunit ribosomal RNA
Source: RNAcentral
UGACCUCAAAUCAGGUAGGACUACCCGCUGAACUUAAGCAUAUCAAUAAGCGGAGGAAAAGAAACUAACAAGGAUUCCCCUAGUAACUGCGAGUGAAGCGGGAAAAGGCUCAAAUUUGAAAUCUGGCGGUC